This 320-nucleotide ribosomal RNA is filed under the name Leptospira borgpetersenii serovar Ballum. Its description in RNAcentral is "partial 23S ribosomal RNA". It matches the Rfam family "Bacterial large subunit ribosomal RNA", at positions 1 to 365 of the family's 2925-position model. Lineage: Bacteria; Pseudomonadati; Spirochaetota; Leptospiria; Leptospirales; Leptospiraceae. The record is from RNAcentral.
GACUAAGCGUACACGGUGGAUGCCUAGGCAGUCAGAGGCGAUGAAGGGCGUGCUAAUCUGCGAAAAGCGUCGGUAAGCUGAUAUGAAGCGUUAUAACCGACGAUACCCGAAUGGGGAAACCCAGUGCAAUACGUUGCACUAUCGUUAGAUGAAUACAUAGUCUAACGAGGCGAACCGGGGGAACUGAAACAUCUAAGUACCCCGAGGAAAAGAAAUCAACCGAGAUUCCCCCAGUAGCGGCGAGCGAACGGGGAGGAGCCCAGAGUCUGAAUCAGUUUGUGUGUUAGUGGAAGCGUCUGGAAAGUCGCACGGUACAGGGU